UUUCAGAUUCUAUAGAUGAUGAAUAUUAAUCAACUGAGCUAUGCAGAUUAAAGGAAUAUUAACCUUUGUGUUUGUAACUAAACUAAACCAAAAUCACCCAAUAUUAAUCUUUGGAAUUUUAUCAAACAUUGUUCUUGAAAGCUAGUAAAGGUCUAAAGAAAAGGAAAAUAUUUCACAAAAAGACAAUAUAAAAAACUCCCGGGUUUACACAGCAUUUUACUCUAUCUUAUCUGAUGACAACACCCUCACAAAGAGUUCUAAGGCUAGACAAACAUGUGUGAUUACUGCUCAUACAACAAUUAAAAAGUUUUUAUUUGUAUUCUUAAUAUUUAAUAUUUAAAAUCUUUAAACUAAAUUGUUAUUAAUUUUAUUUAACAACCCACUAAUGUUUCUAAUAUUAAAGUUAUAUCUAAA
This is a long non-coding RNA of Lucilia cuprina (Australian sheep blowfly), 414 nucleotides long. RefSeq lists it as uncharacterized. The record is from RefSeq and is a predicted model, not a curated record. NCBI's taxonomy places the organism in Eukaryota, Metazoa, Arthropoda, Insecta, Diptera, Calliphoridae. The transcript has 3 exons.